This 1069-nucleotide ribosomal RNA is filed under the name Listeria monocytogenes. RNAcentral describes it as "partial 23S ribosomal RNA". It matches the Rfam family "Bacterial large subunit ribosomal RNA", at positions 294 to 1357 of the family's 2925-position model. The record is from RNAcentral. Lineage: Bacteria; Bacillati; Bacillota; Bacilli; Caryophanales; Listeriaceae.
GGGGUUGUAGGACACUCUAUACGGAGUUACAAAAGAAAGUUAUAAAUGAAGCGGUCUGGAAAGGCCCGCCAAAGACGGUAACAGCCCGGUAGUUGAAAUGGCUUUCCCUCCAGAGUGGAUCCUGAGUACGGCGGAACACGUGAAAUUCCGUCGGAAUCCGGGAGGACCAUCUCCCAAGGCUAAAUACUCCCUAGUGACCGAUAGUGAACCAGUACCGUGAGGGAAAGGUGAAAAGCACCCCGGAAGGGGAGUGAAACAGUUCCUGAAACCGUGUGCCUACAAGUAGUUAGAGCCCGUUAAUGGGUGAUAGCGUGCCUUUUGUAGAAUGAACCGGCGAGUUACGAUUUGUUGCAAGGUUAAGCGGAAAAAGCGGAGCCGUAGCGAAAGCGAGUCUGAAUAGGGCGCAUAAGUAACAGGUCGUAGACCCGAAACCAGGUGAUCUACCCAUGUCCAGGAUGAAGGUAAGGUAAUACUUACUGGAGGUCCGAACCCACGCACGUUGAAAAGUGCGGGGAUGAGGUGUGGGUAGCGGAGAAAUUCCAAUCGAACUUGGAGAUAGCUGGUUCUCUCCGAAAUAGCUUUAGGGCUAGCCUCGAGGUAAAGAGUCAUGGAGGUAGAGCACUGUUUGGACUAGGGGCCCUUCUCGGGUUACCGAAUUCAGAUAAACUCCGAAUGCCAUGUACUUAUACUCGGGAGUCAGACUGCGAGUGAUAAGAUCCGUAGUCGAAAGGGAAACAGCCCAGACCACCAGUUAAGGUCCCCAAAUAUAUGUUAAGUGGAAAAGGAUGUGGGGUUGCUUAGACAACCAGGAUGUUGGCUUAGAAGCAGCCACCAUUGAAAGAGUGCGUAAUAGCUCACUGGUCGAGUGACCCCGCGCCGAAAAUGUACCGGGGCUAAACAUAUUACCGAAACUGUGGAUGAACCUCUUUAGAGGUUCGUGGUAGGAGAGCGUUCUAAGGGCGGUGAAGUCAGACCGGAAGGACUGGUGGAGCGCUUAGAAGUGAGAAUGCCGGUAUGAGUAGCGAAAGAAGGGUGAGAAUCCCUUCCACCGAAUAUCUAAGGUUUCCUG